UCUCAGCCUCCCAAAGUGCUGGGACUAUAGGCAUGAGCCAUGGCACCUGGCCUAUUUUAUUUUUUUUUGGAUAGAGUCUUUCUUUGUCGCAUAAGCUGGAGUACAGUGGCGCCAUCUUGGCCCACUGCGACCUUUGUCUCCCAGGUUCAAGCAAUUCUCGUGCCUCCGCCUCCCGAGUAGCUGGUAUUACAGGUGCGUGCCACCAUGCAUGGCUAAUUUUUGUAUUUUUAGUAUAGAUGGGGUUUUACCACAUUGGCCAGACUGGUUUCAAACUCCUGACCUCGAAUGAUCUGCCCGCCUCGGCCUCCCAAAGUAUUAGGAUUACAGGCGUGAGCCACUGCACUUGGCCAAUUUUAUUUUAUUUUUUUCAGACAGGAUCUCACUCUGUCACCCAGGCUGGAGUGCAGUGGCACAAUCUUGGCUUACUGCAGUCUCAACCUCCUGAACUCAAGUGAUCCUCCCACUUCGGCCUCCUGAGUAGUUGGAACUGCAGGCUGGAGUGCAAUGGCACGAUCUCGGCUCACUGUGACCUCCAUCUCCCAGGUUCAAGCGAUUCUCCUGCCUCAGCCUCCCGAGUAGCUUGGAUUACCAGUGCCCACCAUGAUGCCAAGCUAAUGUUUGUAUUUUUAGGAGAGACAGGGUUUUACCGUGUUGUCCAGGCUGGUCUCGAUCUCCUGACCUCAGGUGGUCCACCUGCCUCGGCCUCCCAAAGUGCUGGGAUUACAGGUGUGAACCACAUGUGCCCAGCCCAAAAGCUACAAUUUUAUCCUCAACAGUCUGGUUCCCAAGUCUAUGCUCUUAAAAAGGUAAUCCCCAUUCUCUCCGCUAAAAAGUCUCAACAGAGGGAGGAGUUGUCAACAAAUAUAUAGCAGAUCUUGCCCUAAAGUCUCCUGAAACAAAAGGAAGACUGAGUGUAAAUAAAGCUCUAGCCCAGUCCAGCCUAGCUCAAUUCCUGAUUGGACUGAGGUGAUCAGCCUGUUAUCCUAUCUGCCUAAGAGAGGGAAAGGACACCUCUCACUGGGCAAAGAUGCCAUUGCUUCAACCCUGUGGUUCUUUUUUAUACAAUGUCCAGAAUAUAAUAAAAAACUACAAGACAAGUGAUGAGGCAGGAAAAUGUGGUGGAUAAGAGAGAAAAAGAGACAACAGAAGCAGACACAUAGAUGAUCAAAUCUUGAAGUCAGCAAAUAGAAACUUUUAAAGUUAGAAGAAAAGAUGAGCAAAAAUGAGACAAAAGAUGGAGAAUUUCAACAGGGAAUUGGGAUCUACCAAAAAAAUCACAUGGAUAUUUUACAAUGGAAAAAAAUAUAUAAUAUCUGAAUUUUUUUUUUUUUUUUUUUUGAGACGGAGUCUCUCUCUGUCGCCCAGGCUGGAGUGCAGUGGCGUGAUCUUGGCUCACUGCAAGCUCCGCCUCCCGGGUUCAUGCCAUUCUCCUGCCUCAGCCUCCCGAGUAGCUGGGACUACAGGCGCCCACCACCACGCCCAGCUAAUUUUUUGUAUUUUUAGUAGAGACAGGGUUUCACCAUGUUAGCCAGGAUGGUCUCAAUCUCCUGACCUCGUGAUCCGCCCACCUUGGCCUCCCAAAGUGCUGGGAUUACAGGCGUAAGCCACCGCGCCCAGCCUAAUAUCUGAAAUUAAGAACUCAAUGGAUGGGGUCAACAGGACACUGGGCACAACAGAAGACAUAAGUGGUGAACUCAUAGACAAGCGAACAAAAAACUUCCUGGUUGGAUUACAGAGAGGAAAGAAUGGAAAAAACAGAACAGGACAUAACAGAUGUGAUCAAAAGGCCUAAUAUGUGUGUAAUUGGAGUCCCAGGAGUGAAGAGUGAAAAUGAGGCAGAAAAAAAUUCAAGUGAGAAUGGUUGAGAAUUUCCCCAAACUGAUGAAAGGCAUCCACCCACAAAUCCCAAUUUUGUACUUCCAACCACUGUUAUACCACCCCCCUCAACAAUGCCUAUAAAUGUUUGUUGAAAAUGAGUGAAUGAAUGAACUCCAAUCGUUUCCUCACUUGGAUGUUCCCUACUUUCUGCUCUUCUUAGAAAAUAAUAAAUGGUACAA
Molecule: long non-coding RNA, 2057 nt
Organism: Pongo pygmaeus (Bornean orangutan)
Lineage: Eukaryota; Metazoa; Chordata; Mammalia; Primates; Hominidae
Exons: 2
Source: RefSeq, a predicted model, not a curated record